This 74-nucleotide transfer RNA is filed under the name Pteropus alecto (black flying fox). It matches the Rfam family "tRNA". From Rfam's summary of the family: Transfer RNA (tRNA) molecules are approximately 80 nucleotides in length. Their secondary structure includes four short double-helical elements and three loops (D, anti-codon, and T loops). The record is from Rfam by way of RNAcentral. Lineage: Eukaryota; Metazoa; Chordata; Mammalia; Chiroptera; Pteropodidae.
GGCUCCAUAGCGUAGUGGUUAGCACACCUGCUUUACACGCAGAAAGUCCUGGGUUCAUGUCCCAAGUGGAGCCA